AUCGAUGAAGAACGCAGCGAAAUGCGAUAAGUAAUGCGAAUUGCAGAAUUCAGUGAGUCAUCGAAUUUUUGAACGCACAUUGCGCCCCUUGGUAUUCCGAGGGGCAUACCUGUUCGAGCGUCAUUAACAACCCCUCAAGCCUAGCUUGGUAUUGGAGUCGCUAUUUUCGCGGCCCCUAAAUUCAGUGGCGGUGCCUGUAGGUUCCACGCGAAGUAAUUCUUCUCGCGAUGGAUCCCCUAUAAGUCUCUAGCCAACAACCCCAAUUUUUUUUUCAGGUUGACCUCGGAUCAGGUAGGGAUACCCGCUGAACUUAAGCAUAUCAAUAAGCGGAGGAAAAGAAACCAACAGGGAUUACCUCAGUAACGGCGAGUGAAGCGGUAAUAGCUCAAAUUUGAAAUCUGGCUCUUUCAGGGUCCGAGUUGUAAUUUGUAGAAGAUGCUUAGGGUGUUGCUCCGGUCUAAGUUCCUUGGAACAGGACGUCAUAGAGGGUGAGAAUCCCGUAUAUGGCUGGGUACCUUCGCCUGUGUUAAGCUCUUUCGACGAGUCGAGUUGUUUGGGAAUGCAGCUCAAAAUGGGUGGUAAAUUUCAUCUAAAGCUAAAUAUUGGCCAGAGACCGAUAGCGCACAAGUAGAGUGAUCGAAAGAUGAAAAGCACUUUGGAAAGAGAGUUAAACAGUACGUGAAAUUGUUGAAAGGGAAGCGCUUGCAACCAGACUUGGGCGCUGCUGAUCAUCCUAGGUUCUCCUAGGUGCACUCAGUAGUGUUCAGGCCAGUAUCGGUUUCGGUGGUUGGAUAAAGGCUUAGGGAAUGUAGCUCCUCUCGGGGAGUGUUAUAGCCCUAGGUGCAAUGCGACCUACCGGGACCGAGGACCGCGCUUCGGCUAGGAUACUGGCGUAAUGGUUGUAAGCGACCCGUCUUGAAACACGG
RNAcentral lists this ribosomal RNA (926 nucleotides) under uncultured fungus. Its description in RNAcentral is "eukaryotic LSU rRNA". The stretch from base 278 to 926 matches the Rfam family "Eukaryotic large subunit ribosomal RNA", at positions 1 to 664 of the family's 3401-position model. Lineage: Eukaryota; Fungi. The record is from RNAcentral.